AAUGAUAAUGGGUGGAGGUGGGAAGGAAGGAGAAUAUCUAAGGGAAAGAUCUUGGGCCUCUAAUUUCAAUCUCGACAAGAACCUUCCACGUUCUUUGCCACCUGGCACUUCCUAUUUCGCUUUAUCGUACCAAACCACGUUUUCUUUACCGGAAUUUUCUUCUUCUCCAUCUCCUCUCAUCGUAAGCUCUGCGUAUGUGUAAUUUA
RNAcentral lists this unclassified non-coding RNA (206 nucleotides) under Hevea brasiliensis (rubber tree). Lineage: Eukaryota; Viridiplantae; Streptophyta; Magnoliopsida; Malpighiales; Euphorbiaceae. The record is from RNAcentral.